UACGUAGGGUGCAAGCGUUAAUCGGAAUACUGGGCGUAAAGCGUGCGCAGGCGGUGAUGUAAGACAGAUGUGAAAUCCCCGGGCUCAACCUGGGACCUGCAUUUGUGACUGCAUCGCUAGAGUACGGUAGAGGGGGAUGGAAUUCCGCGUGUAGCAGUGAAAUGCGUAGAUAUGCGGAGGAACACCGAUGGCGAAGGCAAUCCCCUGGACCUGUACUGACGCUCAUGCACGAAAGCGUGGGGGAGCAAACAGG
This 253-nucleotide ribosomal RNA is filed under the name uncultured bacterium. RNAcentral describes it as "partial 16S ribosomal RNA". It matches the Rfam family "Bacterial small subunit ribosomal RNA", at positions 524 to 776 of the family's 1533-position model. The record is from RNAcentral.